AGACUGAGGUAGUUGUUAAGGCUCCCCGGGUAAUUCCACUGUAUAUCCCGUCUUGAGACCCAUUGAUCUAGGACCUUACUAAUCAAAGCGUUGUAUGAAGACCAGCAGCAUCGUAUCACCUCGGACUUGUGAGACUUGUUAGACACGUAGAAUCUCAGGCCCCACCCCGGCAUCUCCAGUUUAAAAAUCCCCAGGAGAUUUGGACUCUAUUAAAGUGUGCGUAGCUGGGGUUUUCAAACUUGACUGCACAUUAAAAUCAUCUGGAGAGCUUUUAAAAAUCCCAAUGCUCAGGCCACACCUCAUACCAAUUAAAUCCAAAUUUCUGAGGGUGGGAGGCAAGCAAUUUUUUAACAGGUUUUCAGGUGAUUCCAACGUGCAUGAGUUCUCAGCCGUGGAUACAUAUUAGAAUCACCUGGGGAGCUUUUAAAUCUCCCGAUGCCCAAACCGUACUCUCAUAAAUUCUGAUUUAAUUGGUCUAGGAUAGGCGGCAAAACGAUUCCUAGGUGAUUGUAAUAUGCAGCUAGUGGAGCCUCCCUUCCAGAAUGUUGGUUCAGCUUCACUGAAGGUACAACCAGCUUAAAAACCCUCACUGCAAGUCAGUGGAUCCAGUAACAGUUGGAGAAAAAGAAUGAGCAGGCCAUGGCUAGACUUAGUUUCCAGGGCUUUGAUAUUUGAUCUCCUUACAUGUGAUAACUACGAUUCUUUUUUUUUUUAUGAAUUCAGAUAUUUAUAUGCUCCUCUAGUUUUCUAAUAAAGUUCCUUUUGAAAAAUUCAACCUCAAUGCAGCUGAGUUAAGAGAUAAAAGCACUGGCCUACACCUGGGGCCACAGGAUCUCAGAGCAGCUAAGGGGUCAGGUGGGAUGGAGGCAAGAGAGGUUAUGGUGGAGAACUUGGGUGCGCCGGGACCGAGAGGAAGACCCUGACGGAUAAGCAAAAGUGGACUCUUUAGUAUGGUUAUUUGGAUGAUGGUUUUGAUUUGAAGAAUCAAAAGCCAUGGUAUGUGAGGGCUACAAGCCAGGAUACUACACUUAAUUGACAUAUCUUCUUAAACGCCUCUGAUUUGUGACGGUUUCUCAGUCUUUCCUGCUUUUCAUGACCUUGACGCCUUUGAAGAGAAGUGAAGUGAGAUCUCACUACGUUGCCCAGGCUGGUCUUCAACUCCUAACCUCAAGUGAUCCUCCCAUCUCAGCAUCCCAAAGUGUUGCGAUUACAGAAAAUAACUUCAUUCUGCAAUUGAAAGAAUCACAGCAAGCUCUCAUUGUAUCAAGGCAAACUGGCGGUCAUACUCUUCUCUAAAUGAGCCAACACUCCCUAGGAGACCUCAGUAGAACUCCCUCUUCUCUGCUGGAAAGGUUUUGCCUCCCCAGGACCCAUACCUCACCAUCCAUGCAUGACAUUCUGGCCUCAAGUAUCCACUCCUCAAAGGGGAAACAGUCACCAAGUACAGGAAACAGCCAGUGCAAAUAUUCUGAGGAAAAGAAAUUGGAGAGAUUCGCCUUGAAAAUAAGCCUUCAUAUUAGUGACUUCCUUCUUUUAAAGGACAUCGAACAAGUUUUGUG
Pan troglodytes (chimpanzee) is the source of this 1559-nucleotide long non-coding RNA. RefSeq lists it as uncharacterized. The transcript is spliced from 8 exons. Lineage: Eukaryota; Metazoa; Chordata; Mammalia; Primates; Hominidae. The record is from RefSeq and is a predicted model, not a curated record.